Molecule: transfer RNA, 72 nt
Filed under: Camelus bactrianus (Bactrian camel)
Lineage: Eukaryota; Metazoa; Chordata; Mammalia; Artiodactyla; Camelidae
Also listed under: 2 other names
Rfam family: tRNA
About the family: Transfer RNA (tRNA) molecules are approximately 80 nucleotides in length. Their secondary structure includes four short double-helical elements and three loops (D, anti-codon, and T loops).
Source: Rfam by way of RNAcentral
GAAGUUACAGCUUACAGGUAGAGUGCAUGCUUGGCAUGCAUGAGGUCCUGGGUUCAAUCCCCGGUAUAGUCA